UUGCCUCUAUGUCAACCAAUGACAAGCUAAUUGGAGCAACCAUUUCCCUAUAAAUAGGGACUUCAUUCUUUUGGUUUUGGUUACCAACUAGUGCACGGGUUGGACGCUGUAGUGAGAUAUAUGGCUACAUGCAAGCAUGCAUGUUAAGCCUUUGUAGAGAAGAAUUUUUUUUGUUAAUCUUUCGAAAUUCGUAACUUUCAAUCCAAAAUUUCGAUUGAGGAAUAGUUUUCGUCUACAUGUUCAGUGAAUCGAGCUCAACAUUCUAAGGUAAAUUUUGAGGAAUUAUUAUUUAGGUUUGAAUAAUUCGUUCAAAUUGGGUUUAUGACUAAUUAGGCUUAAAUCUUCGAUUCAAGCUUGUUCUUGCAUAAUUUGAGGGCUUUGAAGCCUAUUUGAUGACUGGACAACGAUUUCUCAGACAUUAAGGUAAAGAUUUACAUAUGAUCAGAUUUUUGGGAUUUUUGUACAAGUUUCAUAUGGAUGAGAUUUAGAAAAAAAAUUGAUGUUUGACUCGAAAUUCAUCAAAUUUAGUCCUUAAAGGACGUUUGUAUGGAAGAAGUGAGUUGUACUAUUGAUGGAUUGUGUUUUGGCUUGAAAGAUAUGUUGAAUUUCUGGGAAAAUAGACCUCAAAGCCACUGGUUUCAUACCAGGGACUGAACUACAAAAAUAGUUUUAGUUUUGGGGUAAUUGUGUAAAUUACUAAAAGUUUGGGGUCCAAAGUGCAAUUAUCAAAAAUUUUGGGAUCUAUUUGAAAUAAUAAAAAGUUCAAAUACAUAAUUUUUAUUCUGGUUAAGUGAAGGUCCCUAUUGGAUAUAGUUGUUGUUAUGGGAAUAAAGUUUAGUCAUUAUAUAUGGACAUAUAGUGGCAUAUUGUAAUUGUUGAACUAGGGACUCCAAUUACUCGUAGUGCUUGCGUUUAAUCGAGGUAUUGGUGAGGAAUAUUGCUUGCUUGGCUUGGAGACCAGGUAGGAGAAUCCUCACUUACCCUAGUUAUGGAAUUUUGUGCAUGUAUGUAUAUGUAAAUAUACGAAUGCCUAUGAAAGCUACAUAGAUUUUGUUGUGAUAGAACCAUAAGGAAAAAUGGUUUUGUUUUAUAUCAUGAUAUACAUGUUGUUUUAUGCUACAAAUUAAAGUGAUGACUUGAGAGUGAAGGGGGCAUAGCGACCGCCUUGGGUUUCGAUCCCCUAAACCUCCGGAGGGGAUACUACAAAGGGAUUAGUAUCGCUACCUUUCUAGGAGAGGUACUAGGACAUCUAAGGGUAGAGCAUUAAGGGACACUCUCGCUACAACUUACCAUAAGUAUAUUCGUUCGGAGUUGGUCCAGGUAAGCGAGUAGUUGGUCAUUAGACUGGUCAUCAGGCAUGUAGCAAUUUAUUGGGAUCCCUAUUGUUUUUUUAAAGGAAAUUGUGUGAGCAUAUAACCUAUUUUCAAAACUAAACAAAGCUUUUGUUGUGCAUCAAUCAUUUUCCUAUAGUAUAUAUAGUGUCGUAUACUAUUUUCAAACCUAGCUGGGGUGGAUUCCCUGAGGGGGAACGAUGAACGUUUGUGAUGCUUACCAUUACUUUAUUACAGGUCUGGUGCACCUAUAAGUAGACGAACUGGACAAAAGUCGGGACUAGCGUUGUUUGUUACUUGUCAACUUCUCAGUUGUUCAUAGCCUCAUCGUCUUGAAGGGAUUUUUGUAGCCAAACUCAACGUUUUGCAUUUUCAAAUCGUACUAAAGAGUUGGUUUAGUAUGAUAAUUACCUUAAACUCUUUGGUUUUGUUGUAGAUUGUGAAAUUCUUUUCCUAUGUAAAAAUUUUAUCCAAAUUCAGUUGCCCUUUUAUUCUUCGUUUUAC
RNAcentral lists this long non-coding RNA (1835 nucleotides) under Malus domestica (apple). Its description in RNAcentral is "long non-coding RNA (MDOM_LNC004022)". The record is from RNAcentral. Lineage: Eukaryota; Viridiplantae; Streptophyta; Magnoliopsida; Rosales; Rosaceae.